This is a long non-coding RNA of Lates calcarifer (barramundi perch), 244 nucleotides long. RefSeq lists it as uncharacterized. The transcript is spliced from 3 exons. The record is from RefSeq and is a predicted model, not a curated record. Lineage: Eukaryota; Metazoa; Chordata; Actinopteri; Centropomidae.
GCGAGCUGUGAACACACCACACACACUCAGUGUGAGCAGUCACUUUGAGGAAGACAUCAGAGCUACACAGGAAGUCUAACAGGAGGAUGACCAGGGACCAGUUCACCCUGUUGUUGGAGGUCAUGACCUUUCAGUGGAUGUUAACUCUCUUCGGAGAAGACACUGAGGUGUCCUGUGUUUUCAUGGAGAGCUGCAUCUUACCGUGCAGCUUCCAGAGCGGAGCUGAUCCAGUCAUCAUCUGGAC